ACAGGUGAGCGGCCUGCUGGGUAGUUGGCUCUCUGACGGAGUGGUUUAGCGGCUGGCGGACUAGCUCGCUAACGGACAGACUCUUGGUCAGGAUGAGCCGCUCGUUUCCCCGUUUGGGUUUCAGAGUGAAGCAGCAGACGAAGCAGAAACGGAGACGCUUCGUCUGAAACGGGAAGAACUGGAACUUCUUCGUUAGGAAACUGAGUUUGUUCUGUUUUAAAAACGUUUCUUCUAAACCAUUUUCAGGAACAGGAAGUGGGGACAGCGACGGGAUACUUGGAGUCACAGAAGAUCCAUUCAGCGAAACACGUGAACGGAGAGUCCAAACACAAAAACAGAGAAAACAACUUCAGCGAUUCCACGAUGGAGAAAUGAACUCAUAGAAUACUAUGAAACAAUAACCAACAGAAACACCAGAGCUGACGAGGAGACGUUUCAUUUUCAAAUGAAAGUCGCAGUAAACACACGUGUCAAACAUUAAAUCAAGUCUCUGCCAGCAGACAGCAGAGCAGCUUCUUGAGAAUUGAGCCGUCUGCUUACAUAAGAGCGCCGUCCUGCUCGUGAGCCCCCGUCCCAGGAAGCCUGUACACACAGACCCCCCGGCUCUCCUUGGGACGCCGGAGUCUGGUUGGCUGAGCAUCCAGAGCCAUAUUUCUUCAACUGGGAGGUUCUUCGCUCAGCCUGUCAGGAAAUCAGCCUUUGAGGGAAGGGGGGGUUGAAGCCUCGUGGUGGGGGCGAGGAGGUAAAGUGGAGGAUUCUCUCCGAUGGGAAGGACAUCCGGCAGCUCCAUGGAUCCGACUCCUGGUGUCGUGUGACUGUAGCGGUCACUGAGACCAGAGGAAGUGUGGUUCACGGUUUAGUUCUCUGAUGAAGCUCGCUGUCCUGCUGUGGUGGAGCGGUCCACCGGCGGACGGCAGAAACCCUGAACUCUCCUCCUGCAGUCACAGAGGCUGAUGGGAUUUCUAUAAUCAAUUUACCAAAGCAGGAAGUAUAACCCCUCCCCCCAGUCAGCUGAAUAAUUCAUCAGCUGAUGUGGUGAAAGGUGGAGUAAACAGGUCUAUUGGCUAAUAUCCCCAGAGGUUUCCAGAGACAAGCGGGGGGGGGUGUGGCUACCCUCAUUUGGACUGAGAUUGACACUAAAACAGCCUGGACGGCUUCAGCAGCGACGGAUGACAUGUUGGUGACAGAAACCUGGAGGACUCCAGCAGAGAAAGAGAACAAGACAAUUCUGCUGGUUUCACUCCUCAGACGGUGAGGUUCAUGCUGAAGAACAAAGAUCAGAGUUUGAUGUUUGACUCCAACCAUCUGCUGCAGAACAAACCUCCAGAGGAGGACAGGAACACGUCUGACAGAGCUGUCAGAGUCAC
This is a long non-coding RNA of Oryzias melastigma (Indian medaka), 1367 nucleotides long. RefSeq lists it as uncharacterized. The record is from RefSeq and is a predicted model, not a curated record. NCBI's taxonomy places the organism in Eukaryota, Metazoa, Chordata, Actinopteri, Beloniformes, Adrianichthyidae. The transcript has 3 exons.